Molecule: long non-coding RNA, 2088 nt
Organism: Heterocephalus glaber (naked mole-rat)
Lineage: Eukaryota; Metazoa; Chordata; Mammalia; Rodentia; Bathyergidae
Source: Ensembl
AUGUCGCUAUCUGAGUUCUGGAGUGGGGACCCCCCUCACGAGCCAAGAUUCAGCCCCGGUCCAGGCUCCCUAACCUGUGCCCCAGACACCAGGGGAUCCCCGGGCUUCCAGGCCCUAAUGGCCAGGACUGCUGUCCAUGACAUUUUCACAGUGAGUAAAAAAUCCUAGACAAGCAUCGGAAGAUGGAGACUCUGAGGAUGGCUCUGUGACGCGAGUGCCAGCAGUGUGAUUCUGGACCAAGCGCCCCGUGGCCCCGCGCUCCAUUGCUUCCCCCCAAGCUCAGGCGCAAUGUGCAAUCCCAUGGACUGGGACGCGCACUUUCUAAGGGAGGAGUCAAUUAGCCGGACGUAAAUUACUUCUGAGACCCAGGGAGAGGGCUGACAUUAUCCACACCAUUUCCCGGAGGAGGAACUGAAGUGGAGAGAGGUCAAGUGCCUUGACCAAGAUUAUAUAAUGGCCUCGUCAGGAGUAAAGUUUGGGGUUUCUUUUCUGUCUCUGCUUACUGAAAAAAUCGUCCCAAGCUGUCACCUUGCAGAAUGACAGGACGAGAGCACGUGACACGGGCAUGCUCAGGGGCACUGCUGGCCAUGGGAGCUGGACCCCACCACUGGACAGAACACCUCGCAGGAUUCCCGAUCACCCUACCCACACACGUCCCAUGAGGCCCUGGAGAGUCCUGGCGGGGUGCGGGAGACCAGACUCUCAUGUGACGAACUGGCCGGAAGGGGCCUCUCUCUCCUCUUUCCUUCUACUCUCGCUACCCCGAGAGAUUCUCUAUAUGACGAACUAAAAGGGGAAUUGACUCAGAAGUACAAAGGGCUCCGUCUUAUUAUAUGAAGAUUUCUCCAGAGUUUGUUUUCAGAUCAUUAAAUACUCAACAGUGGGAGAAACUAAAAGCGCCAAUGUUCUAAGCCACCCCCUGGCAGAAUAUCAAUCAGAAAUUAAAGUCAGGUGCAUCCUGAAGCAAAGUGACCGAAAAGACACACCUUGCUGCAUGCUGAAUCGUUCUCAGUUUUGUGCAAAGGAGCUGCCUAGCGCAGUGCUGGACCACCGUGACCACAGACGUCAGCCUGCGGUCACCCCGACUUCCUUGGCAGGCUGCACCUGACCGCCCUGCCCCAGGGUGGCCUCCACUGUGGACAGAGGCCUUCCCUAGCACUUCACAGUCUAGUGCCCACGGAACCCUGCCACACACACAGUAGACAGGAGAAUGAAUCAAAUGCAGUUCUGACCCCUUCAGACCACGGGUCCAUUUUGUUUUCCCUUCCUUUCCUCCCCUCUCCUUCUUUUCUUCUCUUUCUCUGUGAACCUUGGGAAGAGGAGCCUGAGGAAGAUGUGCUCCGGAGCAUCUCUCCUGUCUGAGAUGCUCAACUGAAAAUGAGAACCAGCAGGGCCUAUCCUACAAAGAGGCGGUCGGCCACCCCUGGCCUGCUGGGGUUUCCGCAGUCCCUCGGGCCAGUGCCCCCAGAAACCGAAAGGAAAAAUCCUCCCCAUUCAGCCUGGCCUCCUCAGCUUCCCCUCCCAGCCCCAGGCCCAAACACUUCCCCCAAGGUCCAUGACCUUUCUGCUGUCAGAUCCAGCGGAAGCAUCUCUGUAUUCAUCUCAGUACUUUAUCCUCCACCUUUUCCUGGGAGCCAGGGCUUCCAGAAACGGCUGGGCGGUUGGCUUUGGCGAUGGUCCUUCUCCUGCUCUUUGCUUGCCUCCCUGCAGUCCCUUCCCCACUUACCCUGCAGGUUCCAUGGCUGCCCUGACCCUUUAGGGCUCGGCCUCAGGGACUUUCCUUCCCCACAGCCCCUCCUGGGUGUCUCCGUCUGUCCCUGUUGUUCUCCUGCAGCGACAGUCCUCGCCGCUGGCUCUGUGUGGUGUCCCCAACUGCCCGUGACCUCUCUCCUUGGCAGCUCGCUGCACUUGCAGGACGGGCCCACAUGGAAACCUUUCCUCCCUGAGGACGGCUUGGACUCAUCUUGGUUCCUCGCUCCCCCUCACCUCAAGAGCCCUGUGCACCUGCAGUCUUCCGAGUCUUAUCUCCAAAUACAUGCGCAUGCUGCGAACUCAUCUGCACCUUUCUUUUUUUCUGUACUGGGAAUU